This 428-nucleotide ribosomal RNA is filed under the name uncultured bacterium. RNAcentral's name for it is "bacterial SSU rRNA". It matches the Rfam family "Bacterial small subunit ribosomal RNA", at positions 475 to 902 of the family's 1533-position model. The record is from RNAcentral.
GUACUUGAGGAAUGGCCACGGCUAAUUCCGUGCCAACACCCGCGGUAAUACGGGAGUGGCAAGCGUUAUCCGGAAUUAUUGGGCGUAAAGCGUCCGCAGGCGGCCUUGUAAGUCUGUCGUUAAAGCGUGGAGCUUAACUCCAUUUAAGCGAUGGAAACUACAGGGCUUGAGUGUGGUAGGGGCAGAGGGAAUUCCCGGUGUAGCGGUGAAAUGCGUAGAUAUCGGGAAGAACACCAGUGGCGAAGGCGCUCUGCUGGGCCAUAACUGACGCUCAUGGACGAAAGCCAGGGGAGCGAAAGGGAUUAGAUACCCCUGUAGUCCUGGCCGUAAACGAUGAACACUAGGUGUCGGGGGAAUCGACCCCCUCGGUGUCGUAGCCAACGCGUUAAGUGUUCCGCCUGGGGAGUACGCACGCAAGUGUGAAACUC